RNAcentral lists this transfer RNA (72 nucleotides) under Paracoccus solventivorans. Its description in RNAcentral is "tRNA_Val_TAC". It matches the Rfam family "tRNA". Rfam says of the family: Transfer RNA (tRNA) molecules are approximately 80 nucleotides in length. Their secondary structure includes four short double-helical elements and three loops (D, anti-codon, and T loops). Further hydrogen bonds mediate the characteristic L-shaped molecular structure. tRNAs have two regions of fundamental functional importance: the anti-codon, which is responsible for specific mRNA codon recognition, and the 3' end, to which the tRNAs corresponding amino acid is attached (by aminoacyl-tRNA synthetases). tRNAs cope with the degeneracy of the genetic code in two manners: having more than one tRNA (with a specific anti-codon) for a particular amino acid; and 'wobble' base-pairing, i.e. permitting non-standard base-pairing at the 3rd anti-codon position. Lineage: Bacteria; Pseudomonadati; Pseudomonadota; Alphaproteobacteria; Rhodobacterales; Paracoccaceae. The record is from RNAcentral.
GGGGCGGUAGCUCAGCGGUAGAGCGGCGGCUUUACACGCCGUUGGCCGGGGGUUCGAUUCCCUCCCGCCCCA